GGGUCGAUGCCCGAGUGGUUAAAGGGGGCGGAUUGUAAAUCCGCUGGUUUUUGCCUACGUUGGUUCAAAUCCAACUCGGCCCA
Molecule: transfer RNA, 83 nt
Filed under: Sahlingia subintegra
Lineage: Eukaryota; Rhodophyta; Compsopogonophyceae; Erythropeltidales; Erythrotrichiaceae
Description: tRNA-Tyr
Rfam family: tRNA
About the family: Transfer RNA (tRNA) molecules are approximately 80 nucleotides in length. Their secondary structure includes four short double-helical elements and three loops (D, anti-codon, and T loops). Further hydrogen bonds mediate the characteristic L-shaped molecular structure. tRNAs have two regions of fundamental functional importance: the anti-codon, which is responsible for specific mRNA codon recognition, and the 3' end, to which the tRNAs corresponding amino acid is attached (by aminoacyl-tRNA synthetases). tRNAs cope with the degeneracy of the genetic code in two manners: having more than one tRNA (with a specific anti-codon) for a particular amino acid; and 'wobble' base-pairing, i.e. permitting non-standard base-pairing at the 3rd anti-codon position.
Source: RNAcentral